AUGUAGGGAAAGUUUAAGAGUGAGGGCGCUCAGGUGACGGCCCUGCUUUCCCUUUCAUCUUCGGCUUGCUGUUCUUACUGCUGCCCCACCGGCUGGCUGGGUCGCUCUCCCAGAGCUCUUCCUGUGGCCAGAUGUGCUGAAGAGACAACACCAGCCAGAAGGCCAGCGAGACGCCCUCUGCAGCCAGCAGACAGCAUCUUAACGAUGAAACCAGGAUGUGUGUCCGGAGAUUCACGCUCACUCUGCGCAUCCCUGAGGAAGAGACAGCAGCCACUGGGCCCUCUCGGACUCCUGUGGAUGUUCCCAGUCAAUCAGUCCUGCACUGAGGAGUCCUGGAGACGGCUGUCACCCUUGGAGCCCCCAGACUGAGGAGGAAGGCCAGACAGGAGUACCCUGUCCUGAAGACAAGUUCUCAUCAGAGUAGGGGAGAAGCACACCCUUCCCACAACUCUUCAAGAGAGGAGUCGG
This 468-nucleotide long non-coding RNA is filed under the name Cricetulus griseus (Chinese hamster). RNAcentral describes it as "lncRNA (ENSCGRG00015029287.1)". The record is from RNAcentral. Lineage: Eukaryota; Metazoa; Chordata; Mammalia; Rodentia; Cricetidae.